GCUGGGUUCAGAACGUCGUGAGACAGUUCGGUCUGUAUCCGUCGUGGGCGUGGGAGUGUUGAGGGACGUCGUCUCUAGUACGAGAGGACCGAGACGAAGCGACCGCUCGUGUACGGGCUAUCCUGCCUAAGGGUAUCGCCCGGUAGCGAUGUCGCGCGGAGAUAACCGCUGAAAGCAUCUAAGUGGGAAACUCUUCCCAAGAUGAACACUCCUGGACCUUAAGGUCCCUGAAGGGCCCUGGGAGACUACCAGGUUGAUAGGCCGCAGAUGUACGGCGCGCAAGCGCUUUAGUCGAGCGGUACUAAUCGCCCGUGAAGUUUGAUCUC
RNAcentral lists this ribosomal RNA (326 nucleotides) under Gemmatimonadales bacterium. Its description in RNAcentral is "partial 23S ribosomal RNA". It matches the Rfam family "Bacterial large subunit ribosomal RNA", at positions 2604 to 2925 of the family's 2925-position model. The record is from RNAcentral. Lineage: Bacteria; Pseudomonadati; Gemmatimonadota; Gemmatimonadia; Gemmatimonadales.